UGAGCAAGAGGGAUGUGGAGGAAG
RNAcentral lists this non-coding RNA (24 nucleotides) under Mus musculus (house mouse). The record is from RNAcentral. Lineage: Eukaryota; Metazoa; Chordata; Mammalia; Rodentia; Muridae.